This is a long non-coding RNA of Glycine soja, 1319 nucleotides long. RefSeq lists it as uncharacterized. The transcript is spliced from 2 exons. The record is from RefSeq and is a predicted model, not a curated record. Lineage: Eukaryota; Viridiplantae; Streptophyta; Magnoliopsida; Fabales; Fabaceae.
GGUAAAAAAAAAAUUUAUUUUCUCUUUCUAUUCCUCUUUCUCCAAAUUACCCUUCUCUCUACAACACAUUCCACACCAAACGUCUUGCUGCCACUACGGACAUUCCAAACCAUGAGUAAUAGAGUACCCCCAUUAACACCGACCUCAAUCACAUUCCUAUGUACCACCUUCCCUUGCCUCAACCAAAUCGCUGUCCCUCGAAGGUAUUGAUAAAAGAUAGUCUUCCCAUACUUCCGCUAAUUCUCCUCUGACACCGCCUCCUUCCGUCGUCGUGUUUUGUCGCACCAUGGGCGGAGGCCUCAGCCGCGAAGUCUGCCAGUGGUGUCACACCAUGGAGGCGCGGAGUGCGCGAUAUGUCCAGAGGAAUUGCAAGAUGGCGAAAGAUGAAGAUGAUUCCAUACUGCAAGCACGUGUUCCACCCGCUUCUCUUACCCAAACCAAACUUUCAACCUUGUGGUUCGAAUCGCGAUUUGUGCUAUCGUGGAGUUAUUCACUGAAGGAACAAAUUUGUGUUGUUCUUCUUUGACUCAAUUCGAUUGCGCUAUUUUGCUCUAAUUGUUGCUAUGGCUUUUCUUUGGAUUUUUUAUUUGAGAGGGCUUUGCUUCGCCUGAUUCGGAUUUAUUUGAUUUGCAUCCUCAAUCACCUGAAAUAUUUGGAUUCUAUGUGCGCUAAGAUUUUUGCAACGAAAUCAACUCAGAGAUGGGCACUUAGCGUCCGACGAGAGGUUGGUGUUGGCGGUGAGGGACAACAAAUUGCAUGAGGCAGGGGACAGUCUUUUCUGAAACUGUUUACCGGAUAGGGAGAAGAAGGUAUUGAUGAUUGUGAUUCCGCUUCAGGUUCUGGCUAACUUGGCUUCCGUUGUGAUUGGGGAAACCGGACCUUUUAUCAAAUAUUGGGUUACUUGGAAUCAGGUUCUUGUGUUAAGAGGUGUGGUUGGAGAUGGGGGGUUUGCCAGCGGCAAAGGUGGAGAUGACGGAGCGGUGAGGCGGAAAGAGUGACAGUGGUGGAAUGCUUGACCGAGAAGAAGAGGGAUAAUAUGGGAACGAUCAAUAAUAAUGGCCUGCUGUAAAAAAAAAAUUUAAAACCAUCAAUAUUGACAAAUUACUCCAUCGUGAAUUAGCUGACAAAUUACUCCAUUAGACUAGUCAAUGUCGUGGCAACUAAUUUGCACACAUGGAGUGUGACGUAAGUUAGUCUUAUACUCUUAUGUCAUGGUACAAACACCUUAGAGUAUAAGGAAGAGAAUUAAGGGUAUGAUUAAUUUAUUGUAUUUUUUUACUUUCAAUGAUUAAAUUUAAUUUUUUUUUAUCUUUUAGAAA